GCAGGUAAGGGCAAUCUGGCUGUGACUUCUGACACCCCACCAAUGGUCAACAUGGAUUCCACUGAUCUGGCUGGCUAGGUUGGUGUGUCCUUUCUCUCUCACCAGUUCAUGUCUGUCCCACCAAAACUCUGUGCUCGGCUGACAAAGACAAGCUUCCCAAUAGAAGACCAGUUUUUAGUCCAGUCCCUGGCUAGGACCGUCAAACAAGUUCUUAAGAAACAGAUUGGAAGGAUUAUGAAGUUAAAAAAAGAAUGAAAGAAAAGAAACAGGCUGCACAUGACACGGAAAUUCUCUGCUGACUU
Molecule: small nuclear RNA, 302 nt
Filed under: Spermophilus dauricus (Daurian ground squirrel)
Lineage: Eukaryota; Metazoa; Chordata; Mammalia; Rodentia; Sciuridae
Description: 7SK RNA (ENSSDAG00000013417.1)
Rfam family: 7SK RNA
About the family: 7SK was discovered as an abundant small nuclear RNA in the mid-70s but a possible function has only recently been suggested.
Source: RNAcentral